This 90-nucleotide transfer RNA is filed under the name Sphingomonas sp. RNAcentral describes it as "tRNA-Ser". It matches the Rfam family "tRNA". Rfam says of the family: Transfer RNA (tRNA) molecules are approximately 80 nucleotides in length. Their secondary structure includes four short double-helical elements and three loops (D, anti-codon, and T loops). The record is from RNAcentral. Lineage: Bacteria; Pseudomonadati; Pseudomonadota; Alphaproteobacteria; Sphingomonadales; Sphingomonadaceae.
GGAGAGUUGGCAGAGCUGGUCUAAUGCGCUCGACUGCUAAUCGAGAGUCUCAUUUGAGGCGCGGGGGUUCGAAUCCCCCACUCUCCGCCA